CGGCGGCGGCAGCGGAGCGCGGAGCGGCAGAGUGGAGAAGGUGGGAUGUGGCAGCGGCAGCGGUAGCGACGUGGGUGGAAGGAUCGGGGGGAGAGAUCCGGGCGCGGUGGGGUUGAACAGAGAGGAGGGAAGGGGAGGCGGGGCUCGUAGUAGAGAGGUAGGCGAACGCGAGCGCGGCGGCGGCGAGGGCGAGCGCAAGCGCCGCGGGGAGGGUGCAGCAAAGGGCGCAGCGGCGGGUGGCGGAAGAAAAAAAAAUAGCGAAGAAAA
Molecule: long non-coding RNA, 267 nt
Filed under: Ananas comosus (pineapple)
Lineage: Eukaryota; Viridiplantae; Streptophyta; Magnoliopsida; Poales; Bromeliaceae
Description: long non-coding RNA (ACOM_LNC015384)
Source: RNAcentral